AUCCCCUUCCUCUUCCACACGCACGAGCGGGCGCACCGCCGCUGCCGACGCCUUCCUCGCGGAGUUUGCGGCCGAAGGAUCGGUUGGGGCGCACCGGGUCGGCCUUCGGUGGGGCGCAGUGCGAGCUCUCGGCUCGGGGCAGGAGGCGGCUCGAUGAAGAGGAGCUGGGGCGCGACGCUCCUCUCCUGGUGUGGCGCACGAGGGAAGGAGGAGGGGAUCGAUCCAAGACGGGAGCUGAGGCUGGCGGCGCCCUUCACACAAGCCUCACCGGCGGUGCCUUCUACACAAGCCUCACCGGCGGUGCGGCGGGAGAGCUCCGACCCGUCCAUAGGUGCAGGGAUGCAGAUCCGCGUCGCGAGCCUGUACUAGGCCGAGGUUGAUGCGCCGGCGCAGGGGUCGCCAUCCAUCUUCGCCAGGUGCUUUGGCGCUGUAGAUAACACUUCUGGUUCUCCUCCAUGCUCGCAGGCCUCCAGAGUACUCCAGCAACAGCCACUAGACGGCAGGUAAGCAUGCAUUGUAUGACCUUAGCUAAUUGCGUACAUACAAGUUUGGAUGAAUUCCAAGAGAUGGAGCACUCUAUCCAAAUAGGAGAAGUGUUAGUUUAAAAGGGUACAAUUUUACAAUGAUUUUCAUGGGGAGCAAAGUAAUCACCUGCGGCAAAUUUAAGUUCUAGAAUUGACAUAUAUUCAGUUCCUUUUUUUAUAAAGAGAGCUCCCUCUCCGAUUUUCAUUAGAAGAAAUCACCGUGCCUUGCAUAUAUUCAUAUAUGCAGUUCCUGGAAGAACAAAGAAGUUGCAUGUCCUUUUAUAUAGUCUAAAAAUCACAUUGAUCCUUGGAGCAUGAUUGGGACAAAUCGCACAUAUGUCCUGUACUGCACACACGUGAAGGCAAAGGAUUUUUCUGAAUGCCAUUGUUGUCCGGUACACAUUGUUUAUCAGUUAGUAAUUUGCCCCUUCCGCAAUGUGAUGAUACUGGCAAUAAGGGAAGCAGCAUAUACCAUUGGUUUUGUUGAUAGAUUAAACCACAAACUGGUACAAUGUUUGAGAUAUAAUGUUUUCUAUCUAAAUGUUGUUUCACACAGUUAAUCAUUGGUUUUAUUUGAGAGAUAAAUUAGUUUAUGCACUGAACUAGAAAUAACACAACUACAUAUUGAUUUUCUGCUUAAAUUUCACAAUAGAUAUUUUGCCGGAUGACCCACUGUAUGAGCAUGCCACAUCCUUUCUUGCUCACCCAGCACACGACAUUCCUUACAGUAGAGGUACCACACGGGGUGGUGACUGGGAGGCUGGGACAUGCUGGCACGGCCAAACAGCUGGUUUACUGCAAUCAGGGUGCUAGAGGCUCUUGGGGUUGCAGCCCGCUCGCCUGCUGGAGGUACAAUGUUGAUUAUUUAGAGACCUCAUCUUCAUGAGACUAGCAAGGGAUGGACAUUCUGAAGAAGAAGAGAUGAGGUGAGUUUCUGAAGUUCACCGUCCAAUCCAAGUAUUAAAGGUCCCUGCACUUCCGUUGACGAGUAUUUUGUCAGCAUCUCGAUGCGGAGGACAUUUAUUUGAAAUACUAAAUUGUGGUGUCGCUACCUCUAAGGACCACAACGUUGUAGCGCCCUUGGCUCAAGGUGACCAUCUUCAGCGCAUCGUGGUGUCGCUGCCCACACGAUCUCUACAGACACCACAAAAGGCUACAGGACCGAGGAGGCCGGUGGCCUGACCACUGAAUCACGUUGUCAUGCGGGCGCCUUGAUCUCGCAUGCGCUGCACAGGUUAGAUUGACAUUUUGCCCUGUGUUUAAUUACUACAUGCACUGCACACUGAUCCAUGUAUAUAUUGGCUCCCCUAUAUAUACCUCUGUUGGUGAAAAGUUUUGACUUUCGAGUUUUGUCAG
This is an RNA transcript of Triticum aestivum (bread wheat), 1880 nucleotides long. RefSeq lists it as uncharacterized. Lineage: Eukaryota; Viridiplantae; Streptophyta; Magnoliopsida; Poales; Poaceae. The transcript is spliced from 7 exons. The record is from RefSeq and is a predicted model, not a curated record.